This 253-nucleotide ribosomal RNA is filed under the name uncultured bacterium. RNAcentral describes it as "partial 16S ribosomal RNA". It matches the Rfam family "Bacterial small subunit ribosomal RNA", at positions 524 to 776 of the family's 1533-position model. The record is from RNAcentral.
UACGUAGGGUCCGAGCGUUGUCCGGAAUUAUUGGGCGUAAAGGGCUCGUAGGCGGUCUGUCACGUCGGGAGUGAAAACUCAGGGCUCAACCCUGAGCGUGCUUCCGAUACGGGCAGACUAGAGGUAUGCAGGGGAGAACGGAAUUCCUGGUGUAGCGGUGGAAUGCGCAGAUAUCAGGAGGAACACCGGUGGCGAAGGCGGUUCUCUGGGCAUGACCUGACGCUGAGGAGCGAAAGCGUGGGGAGCAAACAGG